CCACCUAUCACUCAGAGGUUCCUGGCCAUCAGGGACAUUUCUCUCUCCUCCAGACAGUGAUUCUCCUGGAGUUCAGACUCCCACAUGUUAGGCCAAACAUUACCCAUUUCUCUGAAGUGACUCAGGUUAUGGUGGAUAAGUAAACCUCUACCAUUGCUCGUUUUGGCUGGAAAUUCGAGUUCAGGUGUAUUUUGUGUGGUUGUUUUUGUAGUUUGAACUUAGUGUUGGCUUGGUCCUCUGCUGGCUAGGAGAUGGUGUUCACGGUUGAGGGCCUUGUCCUAUGAACUUCCUCUCUGAGAGAAUGUGAGGGUCUUCAGGCAAGGUUCCCAGGUUCUCCUCCAGGGCCUCAUUGAGCCUGGAGAAUAGUGGAGGAAUGGGAGCACAGGCCUGGAGGAGUAGAAUGAUGAAUUGGAACAGAACCAGAUGCUGGUGAGGCUUUUUCUCAGCUCAGCAUGUCAGGAAGACUUGGUUCUGCAACUCUAAGAAGGUAAUUUUGCAUAAUACAUCACACGAAAAAUCUACCUUCCUAGCCACUCUCAUUAAAUGCACAGUUCACCUCAGUGUGAUAGCUGGGCAGGUCUCCGAUUUCUGUUUUACAGUUGAUAAUAUUAGUACCUAACACUUACCGAGUGUUCCUGGUGUGUCUGAAGCAGUGCAGAAUGCCUUGCAA
Molecule: long non-coding RNA, 670 nt
Filed under: Bos taurus (domestic cattle)
Lineage: Eukaryota; Metazoa; Chordata; Mammalia; Artiodactyla; Bovidae
Description: long non-coding RNA NONBTAT013853
Source: RNAcentral